Small nuclear RNA from Zalophus californianus (California sea lion), 107 nucleotides. Lineage: Eukaryota; Metazoa; Chordata; Mammalia; Carnivora; Otariidae. The record is from Ensembl.
CUGCUCAUUUUAGCAGUACAUAUACUAAAAUUGAGACAAUUCAGAGAAGAUUAGCAUGGUCCCUGCAUAAGGAUGACAUGUAAACUUGUGAAGAUUUCCAUAUUUCU